This 443-nucleotide ribosomal RNA is filed under the name uncultured bacterium. Its description in RNAcentral is "partial 16S ribosomal RNA". It matches the Rfam family "Bacterial small subunit ribosomal RNA", at positions 338 to 795 of the family's 1533-position model. The record is from RNAcentral.
CCUACGGGAGGCAGCAGUGGGGAAUAUUGGACAAUGGGGGGAACCCUGACCCAGCGACGCCGCGUGAGUGAAGAAGUACUUCGGUAUGUAAAGCUCUAUCAGCAGGGAAGAAAGAAAUGACGGUACCUGACUAAGAAGCCCCGGCUAACUACGUGCCAGCAGCCGCGGUAAUACGUAGGGGGCAAGCGUUAUCCGGAUUUACUGGGUGUAAAGGGGGCGUAGACGGCGAUGCAAGUCUGAAGUGAAAGGCGGGGGCCCAACCCCCGGACUGCUUUGGAAACUGUAUGGCUGGAGUGCAGGAGAGGUAAGUGGAAGUCCUAGUGUAGCGGUGAAAUGCGUAGAUAUUAGGAGGAACACCAGUGGCGAAGGCGGCUUACUGGACUGUAACUGACGUUGAGGCUCGAAAGCGUGGGGAGCAAACAGGAUUAGAUACCCGAGUAGUC